UACAAGAAGUCACGGGGGGUAGGGGCGAAAGAGGGUGAAAACCACCCUGCGGUGCUGCCGGGGCGGGGAGGAAACCUGCCGCCCCAGAGCCACGUGCUGAAGCCGGCGCUGGGUGGGUGGCUGGCCCCGCCCUGAGUGGCUCGGGGAAGGGGGGCUUGCUGGGAACCGCUGCAGGCCAAGUUCCCUGGGGAGGAAGAGAACUCGGGGUGGACACCCUCGACCCCAGGGCACCAGGGAACAAAUGUGUCUGGAGUAGGAGGUCCAGUUCCCUUCGAUGGGGGCAGCUCUGGCCGAGCCUGAAGAAAUGCACUUGCCUAACCUAACUUCCUUCCCUGACCGUGGUGGGAUGGGGUGGAAGCUGGAGACUACCCCGACCUCAUACCCUUCAAAGAGGAUGUAUGUCCCAGGGUUUACAGAACCUCAGUAAACAGAGGGUGGGUGGCGGUUUAGUGAAGGGGGUGGUUGGUGGUAGGAAGAUGGAAGGAAGCUGUAUAAAAAGAGGAAAGAAGAAUUGUAAGAACAUGUGAAGGACAGAACUGGACUCCUUGCAAAGGUGAGUUUAUUACUACCUGAGGACUUAGGCCACAGUCCCCUGAAGACAGGAGAUGGGCUACUUGCAGGCAGUAAUGAGACCCGUGGGGGAGUAUGGGCUUCUUCUUCAGGGUAACAAGGCUGGAGGGGCUCCGGGUGCGAUGGUCUGCCACUGAGGCCGUUUUCAGUAACCACUUUGAGGGGCUGCAUCCCGUGGUUCUGGGAUGCUCAGGGAGGACAAAAUCACCCUUUAAAAGCACCCACCUGCAGCCUACCAGGCACCCAGAAGCUGCUCUAGCCCAGAUAGGUUCCCAGCCCAUGACAGACAGGAAGGAAGGCAGAGGAGCCAGGAGGACAGAAAGGCUGCAGACCCCUGCAGGCGCUUGGAUUUCUUCCACUCCCACUCCAUCCCACUUCACCCCACCAUCCUGGGCCCUGUGUGGUGGUCCUUCUGGGAAGCUGGUGGGCGGCAUCAGUGGGAGUUAUCCUGGGAGCUAAGGCCAGGUGCCGGAGGGGGGCUGUGGCCACCAGGAUGAGCAAGACACAACUGUCCUUGGUGGGCCUCCAGCUGGAUUUCAUUCUCGGGCUCUUUCCGGGAUUUAACUUGCUGUUCUUUCCAAAGCCACGGCUCAACAAGUGAUGCCAGCCCGGGAGGGGGGUGUCUAUGUCUCAUCUUGCAGGCAGAAGUAGCACAACAGCUGGGUGAACAAAACCCGCCCGGAUCUGUCCAGAGCUGUUUGUCAGUACAGCCUCAACAGGGACCACGUGAGCGGCUUCUUGCCCCAUAUGACCCUCAUUCCAACUCACGUAGAGCAGGAAGGAGCUCCUGGCCCCCUUCUCCCUGGACAGCCUUUUCCCAAGUGUGCGGGUGGGCGGCUCAUUUCUGCCAAUCCAGUCCAACUCAAAAUAGCACUGAACCAGACUUCUGGGAAGCUCUGUGCUAGAGGCCUCUGUAGAAAAGAGUUAAAAAUGACAGCUCUUGGGAAAUCGAGGGGUGUAAUUUACUGAGAUGGGUCAAGAUGCAGAGGCCUGUGACGUCAGAGGGCAGAAAUAGUGGCCAGGGACUGGUAUGGAAAGUGUUAGUGGUGGAAGGUCCUGGGCCCUGUGUGGUUGCCCUUUGGGGAAGCUGGUGGGCUGGGCCAGUGGAGAUUAUCUUGGGAACUAAGGCCAGGUGCAGGAGGGGCACUGUGACCGGAUAUUUAAGCCACAAAUGCUGCCAUCCCCCAACUUCCACAUUUUUUUUUUCCAGGCUGAGAACUCCCUUGGUAGGGGUUACCUCCUCCACCAUUUCACAUUCUGAUUUCUCAUGUUUCUGGUUUGGGCUCAGUUCAGUUGCCACCUUCUCUGGGAAGCGCCUUUCUCCUGCCCCAUCGUCUGAGUGCACUUGGCCCAUGCAUCCAGAACUCGGAGUCUCUCCCUGCCACUGAGUUCCUUCUCAUUAUGACCCUGCUAUGCAUGAAAAAAGGAAAGAAAAGGGAAGAGAAGAGAGGAAAGAAGAAAGGAAGGAAGGAAACUUUGGGUUCUGGAAGCUAGAAAUCGGAGAUCGAGGUCUCGGCAGGGUGGUUCCUCCUGGCGGCUUCCGUACCGCUCCGCGGCUGCUGGCUGGGCAGUCUUCCUCCAUCCUUGGCUUGUAGAAGCGGCACCGGCUCUGCCUUUAUCUUCACACGGCGUUCUUCCUGUGUAGAGCAUUCAAAUGAUUCAUGCAAAGGUGGCCACAAAGCACAACAGGAACCUACCACGCAGGUGCUCUCAGGUUUUCUUCAAGGGGCCGCAAGAACAGAGAAUGGAGACCACAGCUUCCCUUCCGGACGCCUUCCCUUCAGUGCCCAGCGCUGUGUGCUCACCGCUCUGGGGCCCACGUCUUGAUGACUACGGAGGACACCUGGCAAAUCUCCAUAAUGGACGGAUGGAGCAGAGGCUGCAGGGUCAAAGCUUGAGGAGCGUGGCCAGAGGAGAGAGACAGAAUGUGAGUGAAUGAGCUUCUGUGUGUGUAUUGGGGGUGGGGUGCUAAUGUGAACUGGGGGGCACCGGCCUUGCAUCACAGGGUAGAGGCUGCUUAGCACUGGUUUCUUACUGUCAAGUGGUAACGUAGACCUGGGCCUGGUCUCAUGCAGAAUGGAAAUGAGAUUUUUAUGUAAAAGCUUCCAGUUUGUACAUGAUGGCACAGUCGUUUAUAAAGCAUUGUCUGGGGGCCAGUUUAGGUGAACCGUCUACCAGUAUGGGAUUCUAACACAGAUACAUUUCUCAAAUGAGGAGCGUCAUUCACAGGGUCAGAAGGUCUGGGGCUGGACCUGGGAACAUGCCUUCUUCACAAGCCUCCUCUCCACCCCCUCCCCUCCCCCCUAGGGUGGUCUGAUGCCCAGUGGAGUCUGAGAGCCACCAAACCGGAGUUACGAGGGAGGCAGCUUCCCACGUAGGGGCAGGCUAGGCGGGCAGGAUCACGUUCCCUGUUUGCACCAGCCUGGAGCGCCCAUGGCCUGGCCCCAGUUUCUCAGGGCCAACGGCGUCCAGAGCACAUACUUUCAUGUGCCAGGAGCAGGGAGAAGAGAAAGGCGGAGAGGGGCCCUGCAGGAAGAGGACGCCCCCGCUCCCUCCCAGCCUCCCUCUGGCUCUCUACAGCCCCACCUGGUUUAAUGCCAGUCCCAGUGGCUUUUACCCUACUGGGCAGUGUGACCGCCAGCCUGAUGCCUGUUGCUUCCUGGGGAGCUUUGUCUGGAUGGGAACCUUUGUGGGGAGACGGCCCAAAUAGAGAUGUCAAGUUCUAGGAAAAGGCAGGCACAGGUCUCCGGACUGCCUGGGAGCUGAUGGAUGGGUGUUAAGCAAUAUGUUUGUAGGCUUCUUGCUUAAUCGUCACAAGUGCAGUGAACACUGGCAGUUCUCUGGCUGGGUCGUCUGCUCUGAAAAUCCACAGGCUCCUCUUUAACAGCUGGGAACCACCUGUCUUCUGUAGGUGUUUAUUCUGCCACCAGGACACUUUACAGGGUUCACCUGGCAACUCGGAUGCUCUGUGGGAUAAGUCAGUGUUCCAGCUCAAUAUUCCCAGGUUCCUGUAGUUCAAGGACUCUGGAAAUGCCCCCUCCUCCACGUCCCCUGUCACCUCUCUAGGGCAGGGCACAUGGGAGGAGCAAAUAUGUUUGUUGGUAGAGCAACAUGAAGGAAAAUAUCAAUCUGAUGUUUGUCUUUCCAGGGAUAAUUAGCAAAGUGAUCCAUUCUGUCCACCCCACCAGCCUACAAAGGCUCACUUCCAUGUUACAGCUAAAGAAGAUACUUUGAUUUCCCCAAAAGAAAAUAAAAAGAAACAAAUUAAUGAGACUUAUUUCUAUGUACAUUUCUAUCCCUAAAGGGUCUGCUUUGAGUCUUCUGCCUAGAUUACUCUCAGCAAAUAUUUUUAGUUGUUAAGAACCAUAAUUGACAUAAAAUAUAGCUGCUCUAAGGCUGUGUAGUAGUUUUAAUACCUGUAAUAAAAUAGCAAACUUAGUGGAGACUAUGAACCAUAGCAAGAGCUAACGUUUGCUGAGCACUUUCUAUGGGCCAGGCUCAGAGCUAAGUGCUUUCCUUGGGUUCUUUCAUUUAGUCUUUACAAGUCUGUGAGAUUUAAUCCUCAAAACCAUUCAACCAGGGAAGUAAUACCACCAUUUUACAGAUGGGGAAAGUGAAUCUUAGAGGCUGAAUGUGCGAGAUGCUUUACAUGGCUUAUAUUAUGUGAUCCUCAGGUCAAUCCUGCACGAUUCCCCUCCCAACAGCCCUAUAGGAAGGCAUUAUUGCCGUUUUAAGGAUGAGGGAACUGACGUGUGAGGUAGUUAAACAUGCCCAUGUUUGCACGGCUAUUAGAUAGAGGAGGUGGGAUUUGGACCCAGGAAGAUGUGGCUCCAAAUACAACCCUUUCCCUCUAAGUUCUAUCAAGCGAUGCAACACAGCCUAGGUAGACCUGUGCAUGUAUACUCAUUGUAUCAGUGUUUGUAAAGGGGAAAAAGCUGGGAAACACCUACAUGUCCCUCCGUAGAAACUGUGCGAGGUAAUAAAUGAAUACCAUUGUUUUAGUUUAGGGGUGAUUAUACUUAUUCAGGAAUAAGUCUAAUACAAGCUGGGAGGGAGGGCAGAGACUAAUUUCCAGGAGGCAUCCUGGUGGUCCCUGGAGCCUGUCCUUGUAGAAGAAAGAACAGAGCACGGAUACCUGUAGACUCUUAACCCUUGACCUAGGAAUCCAGGAGCAUUUGUCCUGCAUACUUACUUCUUGGCUCCCAGCCUGUCUCAAGGACAGCUGUCCAUCAUGCCAGCAUCCAUUCUUGACUUCUUCCCUUCUCUGCUUACUCUCAUUUCCUUUGAGAGCAACUAAGUCCUCUUAUUUCCUCUCUUUCCCCACUGCGCUUCUCUGUCAGCCCCUGGGGAUCCUGGCCCAUGGUGUUAUGCAGGCCUGGAUUCGGAGAGUUUUCCCAGUCAUCAGUUUUACCCAGAGGGCACUUGGGUCCAACAAGGUCUCUACCUCCUUCUUCUUGGAACUGGCCUCUCCCACAGUUCUGACCAAGAAUUACAAUGGAAACUCCCAUCUUCUUACAGAACCCCCUGCCCUCCCAGGCUCCUUGCUUUCUGUUGACUGGCCAGUCGGAGCCCUCUCCUAGAAGUUUCCAACUUGGAGCACAGAGAGAG
This is an RNA transcript of Ailuropoda melanoleuca (giant panda), 5178 nucleotides long. RefSeq lists it as uncharacterized. Lineage: Eukaryota; Metazoa; Chordata; Mammalia; Carnivora; Ursidae. The record is from RefSeq and is a predicted model, not a curated record. The transcript is spliced from 5 exons.